Molecule: ribosomal RNA, 505 nt
Filed under: uncultured Bacteroidota bacterium
Lineage: Bacteria; Pseudomonadati; Bacteroidota
Description: bacterial SSU rRNA
Rfam family: Bacterial small subunit ribosomal RNA
Source: RNAcentral
AGAGUUUGAUCCUGGCUCAGGAUGAACGCUAGCGGCAGGCUUAACACAUGCAAGUCGAGGGGUAACAGUCCCGCUUUCGGGCGAGAGCUGACGACCGGCGCACGGGUGCGUAACACGUAUACAAUCUACCUUUUACAGAGGGAUAGCCCAGAGAAAUUUGGAUUAAUAUCUCAUAGUAUUAUAAAAUGGCAUCAUUUAAUAAUUAAAGUUUCGGCGGUAAAAGAUGAGUAUGCGUCCUAUUAGCUGGUUGGUACGGUAACGGCGUACCAAGGCGACGAUAGGUAGGGGUCCUGAGAGGGAGAUCCCCCACACUGGUACUGAGACACGGACCAGACUCCUACGGGAGGCAGCAGUGAGGAAUAUUGGACAAUGGGCGAGAGCCUGAUCCAGCCAUGCCGCGUGCAGGAAGACAGUCCUAUGGAUUGUAAACUGCUUUUAAACGGGAAGAAACCCAACUACGAGUAGUUGGCUGACGGUACCGUAAGAAUAAGCACCGGCUAACUCC